GCGAACGCUGGCGGCAGGCCUAACACAUGCAAGUCGAACGGAUCCUUCGGGAUUAGUGGCAGACGGGUGAGUAACACGUGGGAACGUGCCCUUCGGUUCGGAAUAACUCAGGGAAACUUGAGCUAAUACCGGAUACGCCCUUUUGGGGAAAGGUUUACUGCCGAAGGAUCGGCCCGCGUCUGAUUAGCUUGUUGGUGGGGUAACGGCCUACCAAGGCGACGAUCAGUAGCUGGUCUGAGAGGAUGAUCAGUCACACUGGAACUGAGACACGGUCCAGACUCCUACGGGAGGCAGCAGUGGGGAAUAUUGGACAAUGGGCGAAAGCCUGAUCCAGCCAUGCCGCGUGUGUGAAGAAGGUCUUCGGAU
Molecule: ribosomal RNA, 366 nt
Filed under: uncultured bacterium
Lineage: Bacteria
Description: bacterial SSU rRNA
Rfam family: Bacterial small subunit ribosomal RNA
Source: RNAcentral